AAAUACAAUCAGCGGGUUUACGAGCAGGCACAAAGGUACUUAGAAGGUACAAGUGUGUUGUGGAACUGAAUCCUAACCUAACAAAAUCUAGGUUGAUAUCUAGGUUUAAUUGAUAGAAUUCUUCUAUCAUUGAACUAAAACUGGUCUGUUCGCCCUUCUUCCAGUAAAAACAAGUAAGUGUAUUCUCGAAACCCUUUAUUUU
This 202-nucleotide non-coding RNA is filed under the name Lasioglossum baleicum. The record is from RNAcentral. Lineage: Eukaryota; Metazoa; Arthropoda; Insecta; Hymenoptera; Halictidae.